ACUGAACAACUAAAGACCAGUUGGGACUCCUAGACUGGCCCUUGAAGGUGUCACUGGUGAGUGGCAUGGGAACCUUGCCAAAUGCCCUGCUUCACCCAGUGCCCUGUUCUCUUCCAGUGGCCAAUUACCAGGUGGCCUUCAGCUGGAUUUCUUGGACCAGUGCCUUCCAUCAACAAAGACUGGGAUUAAAUACCUCCAAACUGAACUCGAGGAAGGUCCUCCAGUAACCAUACUUUAUGAUACUAUUACAAACCAUAAAUGAUACGGGAAGUGCUGCUUUCAAGUGACAAGUGAUACUGAUUUCCCACCUAUCAACAUUUGCUAUGACUGCUGACACUACAGUGGGGUAUGCGCAGUGUGGGGGUGCCCCCAAGACACAGCAUCAGCAGCUAAGGUCAGCCUAGGCAGAGACCACAGUAACAAUGGGUGUGAACAGCAGAGGGCUGUUUUGAUGGCUCUGACUCUUGCUUAGUACCAUAGGGCCUCAGGGCCUCAGCAUCAUGUUGUGUCCUUUGAACCCUGCACAGUGUCCUCUGGCAGAGGUGGAGGUAUUCAAAGAGUGUCAGGAUUCAGUUUUUCUCCUUAUCAUGGCUGUGCUUUCAUUACACUCAUUUUAUUUUCUCUAACUGGAACCUAGACCUGCAGGCCCAGGCUUACCUCCUCCUCCAGGCUCCUUGGCAAUUGAUCUCAUUUAGCAGAUGAGGCCAAGGAAUGAGUCUCACUGGACUCACUUGGAUUCUGUGCCCAUCUAUAACCGCGGAGGCAUUAUAACCACAGGAUGGAAUACACACAGCCAGGUUGGGGUCACUUACCCGUGUCUGAAAAAGGUCACGGCAGACAUCUUUAGUGCCCACCCUCUCCCCAGUACAUACCCAUGCCACAUGGAGAGAGGAGAUUCCCCAAAAGAAAAUUAAUGUUGUUAACAAAGAGGAAAUGGACGUUGAAUACGUAAAAACCAUAGAUGACCCAUGCCCCACAGCCCUCCAUUCCCCAAAUGCACACAGACAUAUCCCAAAGGACCUGACUACCUCUUUGGCUCCUCUGCCAGUAGCCUCAGAAUAAGAAGCUUGCUGACUGCUGUGAGGUUUUAAGUAAAUGAACCAGCCGGCACCUCUUUUGGCUUUAGAAGCCACUGGGAAGACCCUGGGUAAUGUUUAACAAACCACUUGUAAACAAAGAAUAUCUAAAACCUAGUUGUAGUCAAUAUCUUUUCCUAAAUCAAUAUACAUCUGCCUGCACAUGCCCCUAACCCCACAUUCAUUGUUAAGCCCUGUGUUAUUAUGUAAUCAAUUCAACUUAAGAGUCUGUGGAAAUUUGUUGUUGCAUAUACAUUCAUUCAACUUGAGAAAGAAAUGUGACCUAUGAAUAAUCACAUUUCAGUAUCCAAGGGACAUAGGUCCCAGCUUCAUUUUCAAACUCCAAUAAGUUGUUCUUAAUCUUUUCAGAGAUAGCACAGAGUUUAUAUUUUGUGUACUGAAAGUAGCAUUCCACUUCAGCCUUUUUAUUCACACACAAGAACUUUUCUUACAGUUGCCCAUAAAAACAUUUCAGAUAUUAUUUUCAUUCUAUAUUUUAUGGAAGAAUUUCUUAGAUAUCACAGAAAAGUAGACUUAAAACCCUGGAAGAGACUUUAGAGUUAAGAUGAAACAGCCCUUUCCAUUCCAGGGAUGAAAAAAUGAAAGCUCAGCAGGGAGGGUGAUGAAAAGCGUAGAUGAGUUCAAGUGUGUGGUGAGGGAAGGAGACUGAACUUUGAGUGGUGAGCAGGCGGUGGGCUAUAGAGAUGUCUAGAGAUGUCUUGUUAUAAAGUUGUACACCUGAAACUUACAUAAUGUCAUUAACAAUGUUACUCCAGUGAACUUAAUUGAUUUUUUUCAAAAAGAAAUAAAAGCCCAGAGAUUGACUUGUCUACAAGUCACACAGCUGUUUUUAGCAUCUGUGAUGUGCUAGACAUUUUGAAAAG
Phyllostomus discolor (pale spear-nosed bat) is the source of this 1960-nucleotide long non-coding RNA. RefSeq lists it as uncharacterized. Lineage: Eukaryota; Metazoa; Chordata; Mammalia; Chiroptera; Phyllostomidae. The record is from RefSeq and is a predicted model, not a curated record. The transcript has 2 exons.